GGCUCCUGUGGAGGCCUGCUGAGAACGGGACUUCUGAAAGGAGCUAUGUCUGGAAUGCUGUGGUCCAAGGCUAUUUUUGCUGACUAUAAGCGGGGUCUCCAGAACCAAAAGGAGCACACAGCUCUUCUUAAAAUUGAAGGUGUUUACGCCCACCAUGAAACAGAAUUCUACUUGGGCAAGAGAUGUGCUUAUGUACACAAAGCAACGAACAACACAGUGACUCCUGGCGGCAAACCAAACAAAACCAGAGUAAUCUGGGCAAGGUAACUGGGGCACGAAAACAGUAGCAUGGUUUGUGCCAAAUUCCGAAGCAUCAUUCCUGCUAAGGCUAUUGGACACAGAAUCUGAGUGAUGCUAUACCCCCCAAGAAUUUAAACUAGUGAAAAGUCAAUAAAUAAACGUGGAUUUGUGCCCUUGUAUUUUUGUUAAGUGGAUUAAAAAACUUACUACCUAAAAA
Molecule: RNA transcript, 457 nt
Organism: Cebus imitator (Panamanian white-faced capuchin)
Lineage: Eukaryota; Metazoa; Chordata; Mammalia; Primates; Cebidae
Gene name: 60S ribosomal protein L35a-like
Exons: 1
Source: RefSeq, a predicted model, not a curated record